GACGAACGCUGGCGGCGUGCUAACACAUGCAAGUCGAACGGGGUGCUCUGGAAUGAGUCUUCGGAUGAUUUCCGGGGUUACCUAGUGGCGGACGGGUGAGUAACGCGUGAGCAACCUGCCUUUCAGUGGGGGAUAACAGCUGGAAACAGCUGCUAAUACCGCAUGAUGUACGUUGGGGGCAUCCCUGAUGUAUCAAAGGCGCAAGCCGCUGAAAGAUGGGCUCACGUCUGAUUAGCUAGUUGGUGAGGUAACGGCUCACCAAGGCGACGAUCAGUAGCCGGACUGAGAGGUUGGCCGGCCACAUUGGGACUGAGAUACGGCCCAGACUCCUACGGGAGGCAGCAGUGGGGAAUAUUGGGCAAUGGGCGAAAGCCUGACCCAGCAACGCCGCGUGAAGGAAGAAGGCCUUCGGGUUGUAAACUUCUUUWAUCAGGGACGAAGGAUGUGACGGUACCUGAUGAAUAAGCCACGGCUAACUACGUGCCAGCAGCCGCGGUAAUACGUAGGUGGCGAGCGUUGUCCGGAUUUACUGGGUGUAAAGGGCGCGUAGGCGGGGAUGCAAGUCAGGUGUGAAAUCUAUGGGCUUAACCCAUAAACUGCACUUGAAACUGCAUUUCUUGAGUGAUGGAGAGGCAGGCGGAAUUCCUAGUGUAGCGGUGAAAUGCGUAGAUAUUAGGAGGAACACCAGUGGCGAAGGCGGCCUGCUGGACAUUAACUGACGCUGAUGCGCGAAAGCGUGGGGAGCAAACAGGAUUAGAUACCCUGGUAGUCCACGCCGUAAUCGCUUUUACUAGGUGUGGGGGGACUGACCCCCUCCGUSCCCGGAGUUAACWCAAUWAGUAUUCCA
Molecule: ribosomal RNA, 847 nt
Filed under: uncultured Clostridia bacterium
Lineage: Bacteria; Bacillati; Bacillota; Clostridia
Description: bacterial SSU rRNA
Rfam family: Bacterial small subunit ribosomal RNA
Source: RNAcentral